CGGUAAUUCCAGCUCCAGAAGCGUAUAUUAAAGUUGUUGCGGUUAAAACGCUCGUAGUUGAAUAUAUGCCUAGUACAGGUGGUCUACCCUCGAUUGGUAGCACGCGCUUCGUGCUUGGCACACUUCUGAAAUCUUUUUCCCCACUUCAUUGUGCGGGACUUAAUUCAGAUACAUUACUUUGAGGAAAUGAGGGUGCUCUAUGCAGAUAUAUGUCAUGGAUACGUUAGCAUGGAAUAGCAUUACAGAAUAUUAUUCUGAAGCUGCUGGUUUUUUGGAAUAGUAUAAUGGCAAGAGGAACAGUUGGGGGCAUUUAUAUUUAACUGUUAGAGGUGAAAUUCUUGAAUCUUUUAAAGAUGAACUACUGCGAAAGCAUCUGCCCAGGAUGUUUUUAUUAAUCAAGAACGAAAGUUAGGGGAUCGAAGAUGAUCAGAUACCGUCCUAGUCUUAACCUUAAACUAUGCCGGCCAGAAAUUGGGGCCGUCCGAGUUUGGAUGCCUUCAGAGACUUGAGAGAAAUCAAAGCCUUUGGGUUCCGGGGGGAGUAUGGUCGCAAGUCUGAAACUUAAAGGAAUUGACGGAAGGGCACCACCGGGAGUGGAGCUUGCGGCUUAAUUUGACUCAACACGGGAAAACUCACCAGGUCCAGACAUAGGGAGGAUUGACAGACUAAUAGCUCUUUCUUGAUUCUAUGGGUGGUGGUGCAUGGCCGUUCUUAGUUGGUGGAGUGAUUUGUCUUGUUAAUUCCGUUAACGAACGAGACUUUAACCUGCUAAAUAGGGCGCAGGGAUGUCCUUAUUCUUGCGCGCUUCUUAGAGGGACUUUUUGCGACUAGCAUCAGGAGGUUUGAAGCAAUAACAGGUCUGUGAUGCCCUUAGAUGUCUUGGGCUGCACGCGUGCUACACUGAUGGGUUCAACAAGUUCCUAACCUUCUCCGGAGGGAGUGGGUAAUCUUGCGAAAUCCCAUCGUGAUGGGGAUAAAUGAUUGCAAUUAUUCAUUUUGAACGAGGAAUUCCUAGUAAGCGCAAAUCAACAGUUUGCGCUGAUUACGUCCCUGCUCCUUGUACACACCGCCC
This 1072-nucleotide ribosomal RNA is filed under the name uncultured dinoflagellate. RNAcentral describes it as "SSU rRNA". It matches the Rfam family "Eukaryotic small subunit ribosomal RNA", at positions 577 to 1674 of the family's 1831-position model. Lineage: Eukaryota; Dinophyceae. The record is from RNAcentral.